This 29-nucleotide non-coding RNA is filed under the name Bombyx mori (domestic silkworm). Lineage: Eukaryota; Metazoa; Arthropoda; Insecta; Lepidoptera; Bombycidae. The record is from RNAcentral.
UUCUGCUACUACGUCCUUCGCGGACCCGU